AGAGUUUGAUCAUGGCUCAGAAUGAACGUUGGCGGCGUGGAUUAGGCAUGCAAGUCGAGCGAGAACCCCGCAAGGGGGGACAGCGGCGAAAGGGACAGUAAUGUGUAGAUCAUCUGCCCUCAGGCCCGGGAUAGCUGCGGGAAACUGCAGGUAAUACCGGAUAACAUCUCCGGAUCAAAGGUGUGAUUCCGCCUGAGGAUGAGUCUACAUCCUAUUAGCUAGUUGGUAGGGUAAUGGCCUACCAAGGCUUUGAUGGGUAGCGGGUGUGAGAGCACGACCCGCGUCAUUGGGACUGAGACACUGCCCAGACACCUACGGGUGGCUGCAGUCGAGAAUCUUCGGCAAUGGGCGCAAGCCUGACCGAGCGACGCCGCGUGUGGGAUGAAGGCCUUCGGGUUGUAAACCACUGUCAGAGGGGAUGAAAUGCAGGUGGGUUCUCCCAUCUGUUUGACAUAGCCUCAGAGGAAGGACGGGCUAAGUUCGUGCCAGCAGCCGCGGUAAGACGAACCGUCCGAACGUUAUUCGGAAUCACUGGGCUUAAAGGGUGCGUAGGCGGCGCGGAAAGUUGGGUGUGAAAUCCCUCGGCUCAACCGAGGAACUGCGCCCAAAACUACCGUGCUCGAGGGAGAUAGAGGUGAGCGGAACUUAGGGUGGAGCGGUGAAAUGCGUUGAUAUCCUAAGGAACACCGGUGGCGAAAGCGGCUCACUGGAUCUCUUCUGACGCUGAGGCACGAAAGCUAGGGUAGCGAACGGGAUUAGAUACCCNNGUAGUCC
This 774-nucleotide ribosomal RNA is filed under the name uncultured bacterium. RNAcentral describes it as "bacterial SSU rRNA". It matches the Rfam family "Bacterial small subunit ribosomal RNA", at positions 8 to 796 of the family's 1533-position model. The record is from RNAcentral.